Arachis ipaensis is the source of this 1635-nucleotide non-coding RNA. Lineage: Eukaryota; Viridiplantae; Streptophyta; Magnoliopsida; Fabales; Fabaceae. The record is from RefSeq and is a predicted model, not a curated record.
UGAUGAACGGAUUUUAGCUAGUUAAGAACUAUACUCGCAACGUAUUUCUAUAUUGAUUUCUUAAUUGGCCGACUUCCGCCACCCAUCAACGGCGGCGACAGGGACCCGCGGAGGCGACGACGGAUGCGAGGGCAGGAGCUUCUCCUUCCUUGCGCACGCUCUCUGCUCCCUGAUGACAGCGAGGCAACCCAACAACAGCGGCGGUGAGACAGUGGCGCGAUGGCGACCUGGCAAGCCCAGCAACGGCGGGGAGUAGGCCCACCAUCGCUGGUGCGUCUUCUUCCUUCUCUCCCUCUCAGAUAUCACUCUCUUCCCUUCCCUGAUCGCUUUUCCCCAUUUCUUUCUUCCCUUUCUCACUACAAGAGAGGCACAGAAUAGCGGCAAAAAAUUUCCAGCCUUUUACCCAACCGCUGUAAAUUUCAGGAAUACCAGCAAUUGAUUUUCAUGUGCCGCUAAUCAGGAUCUUUAUCAUAAUUCAUUUAUUCUAUCUCUUUUUUAUCUUAUAAGUUAUAACUAAUAAUUUCCCCAAAGCUACAGAAACCGGCGAACUGAGAUUGGUAGCGCCGCGAAGCCCUAACGUUGCUGCUCCACCGUGUGCUACUGCUGCCCAGCCAUCCUCCUCUCUCCGGUGUCGACGUUUUGCCUCUCCUCCACAGUGCGUGAAACCCCUACUCCCUUCUCUUCCUGGCGUCGACCUUUUGCCUCUCCUCCACGGUGUGCGAAACCCCUGCUUCCUCCUCCAUGGUUGUUGCUGCUACUGACUGCUGUAUAUAUUCUUGGACUAAAGUGAAAUAUACUAAUACAAUUUGGUAUUGUAUUGCUUUACAUCUGGAUGUGGAAUAAAGUCGCUUAGUAAUUUGGUUAUUCAACUUAGGAAAGUUUGUAACCUUCCUGACCUCUUAGAGUAUGCCUUUGAUGGUUCAUGGCUUUAUCCUCCUAUAAAUGAGAUAGUUGAACAAUGUGAAAAAUUUCGUUUGCUUGAACGGCUGUUGGAAAGGUUAUUUGCAAGGAAACACAAAGUUUUGAUAUUUAGUCAGUGGACCAAAGUGUUAGACAUACUGGAUUACUAUUUGAGUGAGAAGGGCUUUGAAGUUUGUAGGAUUGAUGGUAGUGUGAAAUUGGAUGAAAGAAAACGGCAGGUCUGUGCCAGUUCAUGAAUAGCAUUAGCAUGAGCUGUUAAUUUGAAUUUAUUUGUUCUUGUUAUAAGUUUUAUAUACUUCUUUAGAUUUUUAAUCCAAGUUAUACAAUUUAUUAAUAUUAAUUUAUAACAUGGUUGUCUACAAAUUUUAUUCCAAGUUGUGCUCACAUGCUAAUCAUAUAAUGGAAACCAUCCAGCGGCAUUUGAAGAAUGAGAAGGCUAUAGCUACAUGUGGCUCGAUUCUUGGAAUCACGGGAGAUGAUAGAGGAUGCUCUUGAAGUAGCUACUGACCUUGAUUACAGAUUUGAACUAGCAAUACAACUUGGAAGAUUAGAAGUUGCAAAGGUUUGUUGUUGUAAUGCCUACAAAGAGAUAUUAGUUGGCUUGUAAAAGUUGUUAACUUGGUUAUCAAAUUUCUCUAUUUGUGUUUCAGUUGAUAUUAGUUGGCUGAAGAUUGUUUGAUUUAUCUUAUGAAUUUGAGUGGGUUAUUAUUGUUG